CGGUGCCGCGGGGUAUCCGACCCCCCUGGCGGUGCCUUAGGCUAACCGCGUUAAGGUGCCCCGCCUGGGGAGUACCGGUCGCAAGGCUGAAACUCCAAAGGAAUUGACCGGGGGCCCGCACAAGGCGGUGGAGCCAUGUGGUUUAAUUCGAUGCAACGCGCAGAACCUUACCCUGGGCUUGAACUGCAGGGGACCGCUCUGGAAACAGGGCUUCCCGCUUCGGCGGCCGCUGUGGAGGUGCUGCCAUGGCUGUCGUCCAGCUCGUGUCGUGAGAUGUUGGGUUAAGUCCCCGCAACGAGCGCAACCCCUAUUCUUAGUUGCCAGCGGAUCCAUGCCGGGAACUCUAGGGAGACUGCCCCCGGAAAUCGGGGAGGAAGGUGGGGAUGACGUCAAGUCCCUCCAUGGCCUUUAUGUCCAGGGCUACCACACGUGCUACCAAUGGGCGGUACAAAGGGUCGCGACGCCGCGAGGCUGAGCUAAUCCCAAAAAACCGUCCUCAGUUCGGAUUGCAGUCUGCAACUCGACUGCAU
Molecule: ribosomal RNA, 530 nt
Filed under: uncultured bacterium
Lineage: Bacteria
Description: bacterial SSU rRNA
Rfam family: Bacterial small subunit ribosomal RNA
Source: RNAcentral